RNAcentral lists this long non-coding RNA (886 nucleotides) under Aotus nancymaae (Ma's night monkey). RNAcentral's name for it is "lncRNA (ENSANAG00000039196.1)". Lineage: Eukaryota; Metazoa; Chordata; Mammalia; Primates; Aotidae. The record is from RNAcentral.
UCUGUAUCUUCGUCAGGGAGACACUGCUGUUUUCCAACUGGGCCAUCACCGCCGACAUCCUCAUGCACGUGGUCAUCCCCAGCCGGUGUGCCACGGCUGUGGCCUUGCAGAGCUUCACCUCCCACCUGCUGGAGGAUGCCGGGAGCCCCUACCUCAUUGGCAUUAUCUCAGACCUGAUCUGCCAGAGCACCAAGGACUCCCUGCUCUGGGAGUUCCUGAGCCUGGGCUAUGUGCUCAUGCUCUGCCCCUUCGUCGUGGUCCUGGGGGGCAUGUUCUUCCUCGCCAUGGUGCUCUUCUUCCUCAGCGACCGUGCCGAGGCUGAGCAGCAGUGAGUGGGGCUGAGGGGAGGCCUGCUGGGGAGCCCUGCUCGGGGGUGGCGGAGGGGAGACCUGGGUGCACCCAGUGGGUGGCCUGGUUGCUGGGGUCCAGCCCCCGGGCCUCCCCACACCUGUGGGGCUCAGUGCCAGCAUUGGCCUGGAGCUGUGGGGGGCCACAGGGGUGUCUGGUGGGUCCAGGCUUGGACUUGGUGGUUUUUGAAGCUGGGACCCCUCCCCAUUCGUUUUCCUCUCACCUUCUGACUUCUUUCUCCUUUCCUCUUUCCUCCUCUCUCUCCUCUCCCCACCCCUGGGCUCUCCCACCUCCCCCUGGGGCUGACGAGGUCCCUGCCCAGCACCUCCGGUCAGCUGGCCCCCACAACAUGAUGUGCCAGAGCAGUGCCCGGGCCCAGGCCCGGCCCCUGCUGACGCGCCACCCUGACCCCUGCCCGUCGCUCCCCCAGGGUGAACCAGCUGGUGAUGCCGCCCAAAUCUGUGAAAGUCUGAGGUGGUGAGUGCAGGCAGAGAGGCCCUCGGGAAGGGGGAAGGCCAGGGCUAGGUGACAGGGAGCA